UUUGGUUUUAUCACAGCCAACCACAACAAAUGUAAGGGGAGGACGGCAUUCGUCCCGUCUGCCGAAUAUGUUCAGCCUGGGCUGCUGCUCUUUCUGCUUCUUGCUUCUUCCGACACUCGGCUGCUGCCCGUUUUUCUUCUGACUUUUGCCUUGUCAUGGCUAUCUUCUUCAUCAUCUUCACUUCAGCUUGAGCUCUCAUUUGCUCAACUUGGGCCUCUACUCUCCGCAUUUCGGCAUCUAGCUUUGUUUUCUGCUGGCUUUCCCAUGCUUGGAUUUUGAUCUCUUCACGUUUAUAUCUUGCCAUAUGCUUAGACUUUUCAACUUCCUCCCACGCAGCAGCACGUUUUUCAAACUCUGCUCGCUCGAGUGCCUCCUUGUCAGCAUUUUCAACAUUCUGUCUUUUCUUUUCUGACUCAUCCUUACUUGCCCAGGCAGCAAUAUUUGACUUGCCAAGCUGCAUACCAAGUGCUAGAAUUUCUCUUCGUGUUUUGAGCUUCAUUUCAUCUUCUGAUAGUUCCUUUUUGCCAUUUUCUGUCGAUUUUUGCAACCCGGUUGGAGAUUGCUCGAUAGGAGUUGGAGCUGGUGCAUCUCUCCGAGGCGUGGAGGGAAUUGAAGAAGUCGGGCUGCGAAGUGGAGACGCCCCAACAGGAGUAGCUGUUCUUGAAGGCUCUUGGCUAGGAACUGGGGUCAUUUCUGUUCCCAUAUCUCUCAUUGAAACUGCUCUUAUUGCAGGGAUGCCUG
RNAcentral lists this unclassified non-coding RNA (741 nucleotides) under Hevea brasiliensis (rubber tree). Lineage: Eukaryota; Viridiplantae; Streptophyta; Magnoliopsida; Malpighiales; Euphorbiaceae. The record is from RNAcentral.